AAUGAACGUUGGCGGUGCGCCUUAUGCAUGCAAGUCGAACGGGGUUACAGUCUUCGGAUUGUAACCUAGUGGCGGACGGCUGAGUAACGCGUAAGUAACCUGCCUUAGAGUGGGAAAUAACCUGCCGAAAGGCAAGCUAAUGUCCCAGUGGUAACGAAGCGAAUGCUUUGUUAUUAAAGCCUUAGGGUGCUCGAAGAGGGACUUGCGUCUGAUUAGCUAGUUGGUAGGGUAAGGGCUUACCAAGGCGAUGAUCGGUAGCUGGUUUGAGAGGACGGUCAGCCACACUGGGAUUGAGAUACGGCCCAGACUCCUACGGGAGGCAGCAGCAAGGAAUAUUGUGCAAUGGGCGAAAGCCUGACACAGCGACGCCGCGUGAGGGAAGAAGGCCUUCGGGUUGUAAACCUCUUUUCUCAGGGAAGAAUAAUGACGGUACCUGGGGAAUAAGUCACGGCUAACUACGUGCCAGCAGCCGCGGUAAUACGUAGGUGGCAAGCGUUAUCCGGAUUUACUGGGUGUAAAGAGGGCGCGGGCGGCUUUUCAAGUCGAAUAUAAAAUCUCCCGGCUUAACUGGGGGGGAUUAUUCGAUACUGUUGGGCUAGAGAGCAGCAGAGGGAGGUGGAAUUCCCGGUGUAGUGGUGAAAUGCGUAGAUAUCGGGAGGAACACCAGUGGCGAAGGCGGCCUCCUGGGCUGUUACUGACGCUGAGGCCCGAAAGCGUGGGGAGCAAACAGGAUUAGAUACCCUGGUAGUCCACGCCAUAAACUAUGGACACUAGGUAUAGGGAGUAUCGACCCUCUCUGUGCCGAAGCUAACGCUUUAAGUGUCCCACCUGGGAACACGGCCGCAAGGCU
RNAcentral lists this ribosomal RNA (850 nucleotides) under uncultured Chloroflexota bacterium. RNAcentral describes it as "bacterial SSU rRNA". It matches the Rfam family "Bacterial small subunit ribosomal RNA", at positions 28 to 895 of the family's 1533-position model. Lineage: Bacteria; Bacillati; Chloroflexota. The record is from RNAcentral.